Molecule: ribosomal RNA, 253 nt
Filed under: uncultured bacterium
Lineage: Bacteria
Description: partial 16S ribosomal RNA
Rfam family: Bacterial small subunit ribosomal RNA
Source: RNAcentral
UACAGAGGGCGCGAGCGUUGUCCGGAAUCACUGGGCGUAAAGGGCGCGUAGGUGGCGGCAUAAGGCCGCGGUGAAAGUCUGGGGCUCAACCCCAGAUCGGCCGCGGCGACUGUGUCGCUCGAGCACGGUAGAGGCAGAUGGAAUUCCGGGUGUAGCGGUGGAAUGCGUAGAUAUCGGAAGGAACACCGGUGGCGAAGGCGGCACGCUGGGCCCGCCCUGACGCUGAGGCGCGAAAGCCAGGGGAGCGAACGGG